AGCUUUCUGAAUUCGUGCAGAGAUUUCUUUAAAUACCAAUCCAUUAGUGAUUAUCAGACUUCCAAGAUAAGUGAAGUU
This 78-nucleotide microRNA precursor is filed under the name Schistosoma mansoni. RNAcentral describes it as "mir-3492 microRNA precursor family". It matches the Rfam family "mir-3492 microRNA precursor family". The record is from Rfam by way of RNAcentral. Lineage: Eukaryota; Metazoa; Platyhelminthes; Trematoda; Strigeidida; Schistosomatidae.